GGAUCUCUUCAGACUCUCCAUCUCUCGUCUCGUUUCCUCUUCUUCUCUUCAUCCUCGCUCGAUGCCAUCCCAUCGAUCUAAAGGCCGAAGCCAAUAAUCCUGUCAUUAGGUGAGUGAAUAUGUCUCUCCCAAAUUCAGUUGGGGUCUCUCUCUCUUCUUUGCUCUGCGCGGCCCUUCGAGGCUUCCAACGCCGGACGUGUAUGCAUCAAUUGCUUCUCUCUCCGUCCUCUCUCAGGGGUUGAAGUAGUUUUUGCAAUAGAGAAAGCUGCGGUGGAGAUAUGACUUCUGUUCGCUGACGGUGCUCUCGGGCCGUCUAUCAAACUCGACUCGGGGCUGGAUUAUUACAUAGAUGUUGAUUAUCAAGUGGGUGAUGGCUUCUCUUUCAGUGGAGGUGCCUAUUCUCUUUUCCACUACCUCUUUUAUUUGCUAAAUGGCCUUUCCAAGUUUUUCAGUACUAGUAACUGAGGAAGUUUUUGACAUGAAAGUAUUCAAAUGGACCAAGCCCUUCUGAUGAAUGGUUCAAGCAGGGGAAGAUAGUGAGUCCUAUAAAUUACCAAUCUUUCUUUUUUUGUUUUUGUUUUUAUAAUCACCCAUUUGAAAGGAAAUUUAGACCCAAUUUAAUUUGUAUGGAUUCUAUCCUAUGGAUCAUAUGGCUUUUUUUUUUUGUGUGAUCAUAUUCUAGGUGCUUAUAUUUCUCUUGGUUCUGGUGAGAAGGUCCAAUCUUGGACUUGCAAUGGGUGCUGAUUCUCAGGCAGCUGCUGAUGUUUUUAGGUAAAUUUGUACAUUUAGCUUUAGAGGACUAGCGGCUGGCAUGUUUGAAACAGUGUGG
Rosa chinensis is the source of this 829-nucleotide long non-coding RNA. RefSeq lists it as uncharacterized. NCBI's taxonomy places the organism in Eukaryota, Viridiplantae, Streptophyta, Magnoliopsida, Rosales, Rosaceae. The record is from RefSeq and is a predicted model, not a curated record. The transcript is spliced from 3 exons.